Molecule: ribosomal RNA, 445 nt
Filed under: uncultured bacterium
Lineage: Bacteria
Description: partial 16S ribosomal RNA
Rfam family: Bacterial small subunit ribosomal RNA
Source: RNAcentral
GUAGGGAAUAUUGGGCAAUGGAUGCAAGUCUGACCCAGCCAUCCCGCGUGCCGGAAGAAGGCCCUCAGGGUUGUAAACGGCUUUUGACGGUGAAGAAUCGACAGGAUGCGUCCUGUUUUGACGGUAGCCGUUGAAUAAGCACCGGCUAACUCCGUGCCAGCAGCCGCGGUAAUACGGAGGGUGCGAGCGUUGUCCGGAUUUAUUGGGUUUAAAGGGUGCGUAGGCUGGAAGGUCAGUCAGCGGUGAAAAGCUGUCGCUUAACGAUAGUCUUGCCGCAGAUACUUCCUUUCUUGGAUGAGGAGGAGGCCACUGGAACGGACGGUGUAGCGGUGAAAUGCAUAGAUAUCAUCCAGAACACCGAUUGCGAAGGCAGGUGGCUGUACCUUAAUCGACGCUGAUGCACGAAAGCAUGGGGAGCAAACAGGAUUAGAAACCCGAGUAGUCC